RNAcentral lists this ribosomal RNA (969 nucleotides) under Fuscoporia sp. RNAcentral's name for it is "partial large subunit ribosomal RNA". It matches the Rfam family "Eukaryotic large subunit ribosomal RNA", at positions 19 to 983 of the family's 3401-position model. Lineage: Eukaryota; Fungi; Basidiomycota; Agaricomycetes; Hymenochaetales; Hymenochaetaceae. The record is from RNAcentral.
UGGUGACGCCGCUGACUAGCAUAUCAUAAGCGGAGGAAAGAACUACAGAUCCCCUAGUACUGCGAGUGAGCGGGAAAGCUCAAAUUUAAAUCUGCGUUCUGCCGUCCGAGUGUAAUCUGGAGAAGCGUUUUCUGUGCUGGACCGUGUACAAGUCUCUUGGAACAGAGCGUCAUAGAGGGUGAGAAUCCCGUCCAUGACACGGACGCCCAGUGCUAUGUGAUACGUUUUCAAAGAGUCGAGUUGUUUGGGAAUGCAGCUCAAAAUGGGUGGUAAGCUCCAUCUAAAGCUAAAUAUUGGCGAGAGACCGAUAGCGAACAAGUACCGUGAGGGAAAGAUGAAAAGCACUUUGGAAAGAGAGUUAAACAGUACGUGAAAUUGUUGAAAGGGAAACGCUUGAAGUUAGUCGCGUCUUACUUGACUCAGCCUUGCCUCGGCUUGGUGUAUUUCAUGUGAGACGGGUCAACAUCGAUUUUGACCGGCAGAGAAGGGGGGCGAGAAUGUGGCAUUCUUCGGAGUGUGUUAUAGCUUACUCUCAUAUGUGUCGGUUGGGAUCGAGGCCCGCAGCGCGCCCUUGUGGCCGGAGGUUCGCCUCACGUUACGCGCUUAGGAUGUUGGCAUAAUGGCUUUAAGCGACCCGUCUUGAAACACGGACCAAGGAGUCUAACAUGCUCGCGAGUGUUAGGGUGGAAAACCCUUGCGCAGAAUGAAAGUAAAAGUUGGGAACCUCCGCAAGGGGGCGCACCGACGCCCGGCCCAGAAGUUUACGGACGGUGCUGCGGUAGAGCGCGUAUGUUGGGACCCGAAAGAUGGUGAACUAUGCCUGAAUAGGGCGAAGCCAGGGGAAACCCUGUGUGGAGGCUCGUAGCGAUUCUGACGUGCAAAUCGAUCGUCAAAUUUGGGUAUAGGGGCGAAAGACUAAUCGAACCAUCUAGUAGCUGGUUCCUGCCGAAGUCCCCCUCUCAGGGAUUA